GGAGCCGGCUGGUCACGG
Molecule: ribosomal RNA, 18 nt
Filed under: Loranthus europaeus
Lineage: Eukaryota; Viridiplantae; Streptophyta; Magnoliopsida; Santalales; Loranthaceae
Description: partial 18S ribosomal RNA
Source: RNAcentral